RNAcentral lists this unclassified non-coding RNA (236 nucleotides) under plant metagenome. Its description in RNAcentral is "partial contains small subunit ribosomal RNA, internal transcribed spacer 1, and 5.8S ribosomal RNA". The record is from RNAcentral.
UUUCCGUAGGUGAACCUGCGGAAGGAUCAUUACUGAGUGAGGGCCCCUCGGGGUCCAACCUCCCACCCGUGUUUAACGAACCUUGUUGCUUCGGCGGGCCCGCCUCACGGCCGCCGGGGGGCAUUUGCCCCCGGGCCCACGCCCGCCGAAGCCACCUGUGAACGCUGUCUGAAGUAUGCAGUCUGAGACAAUUAUUAAAUUAAUUAAAACUUUCAACAACGGAUCUCUUGGUUCCG